ACCGUACUCCUACGGGAGGCAGCAGUGGGGAAUCUUGCGCAAUGGGCGAAAGCCUGACGCAGCCAUGCCGCGUGAAUGAUGAAGGUCUUAGGAUUGUAAAAUUCUUUCACCGGGGAAGAUAAUGACGGUACCCGGAGAAGAAGCCCCGGCUAACUUCGUGCCAGCAGCCGCGGUAAUACGAAGGGGGCUAGCGUUGCUCGGAAUUACUGGGCGUAAAGGGCGCGUAGGCGGACAGUUUAGUCAGAGGUGAAAGCCCAGGGCUCAACCUUGGAAUUGCCUUUGAUACUGGCUGUCUUGAGUUCGGGAGAGGUGAGUGGAAUGCCGAGUGUAGAGGUGAAAUUCGUAGACAUUCGGCGGAACACCAGUCGCGAAGGCGACUCACUGGCCCGAUACUGACGCUGAGGCGCGAAAGCGUGGGGAGCAAACAGGAUUAGAAACCCCAGUAGUCCUUGAC
RNAcentral lists this ribosomal RNA (454 nucleotides) under uncultured bacterium. RNAcentral's name for it is "bacterial SSU rRNA". It matches the Rfam family "Bacterial small subunit ribosomal RNA", at positions 330 to 801 of the family's 1533-position model. The record is from RNAcentral.